AUGACUCAGGUCUGUGAUUGAAAGGCCAGGCCAGCUACGGGCAAAGGGUCCCACGUAAGCUGAUCCGCAAGGCGGCAGUGAUCAUGGCGUAGUUUAGAAGUAAGUCCUCUGAGAAACUCAGGUAAAGGCAGGUGUGGGGGCAAAGAUCAGGUCAGCUGAGUCAU
This 164-nucleotide non-coding RNA is filed under the name unclassified sequences. The record is from Rfam.